RNAcentral lists this ribosomal RNA (373 nucleotides) under uncultured bacterium. Its description in RNAcentral is "bacterial SSU rRNA". It matches the Rfam family "Bacterial small subunit ribosomal RNA", at positions 521 to 896 of the family's 1533-position model. The record is from RNAcentral.
UAAUACGAAGGAUUCGAGCGUUAUCCGGAUUUAUUGGGUUUAAAGGGUGCGUAGGUGGACUAAUAAGUCAGUGGUGAAAGCCCGCAGCUUAACUGCGGAACUGCCAUUGAUACUGUUAGUCUUGAGUACAGUUGAGGUGGGCGGAAUGUGUCAUGUAGCGGUGAAAUGCUUAGAUAUGACACAGAACACCGAUUGCGAAGGCAGCUCACUAAGCUGUAACUGACACUGAGGCACGAAAGCGUGGGGAGCAAACAGGAUUAGAUACCCUGGUAGUCCACGCCCUAAACGAUGAUUACUCGAUGUUGGCGAUACACUGUCAGCGUCUAAGCGAAAGCAUUAAGUAAUCCACCUGGGGAGUACGACCGCAAGGUUG